CGGCGGACGGGUGAGUAACGCGUGGGUAACCUGCCUCAUACAGGGGGAUAACAGUUGGAAACGGCUGCUAAUACCGCAUAAGCGCACAGUACCGCAUGGUACGGUGUGAAAAACUCCGGUGGUAUGAGAUGGACCCGCGUCUGAUUAGGUAGUUGGUGGGGUAACGGCCUACUAAGGCGACGAUCAGUAGCCGACCUGAGAGGGUGACCGGCCACAUUGGGACUGAGACACGGCCCAA
This 238-nucleotide ribosomal RNA is filed under the name uncultured bacterium. RNAcentral's name for it is "partial 16S ribosomal RNA". It matches the Rfam family "Bacterial small subunit ribosomal RNA", at positions 96 to 334 of the family's 1533-position model. The record is from RNAcentral.